CCCUUAGAUGUUCUGGGCCGCACGCGCGCUACACUGAUGCAUUCAACGAGUCUAAAACCUGCUCUGAUAGGGGUGGGUAAUCUUUUGAAUGUGCAUCGUGAUUGGGAUAGAUGAUUGCAAUUUUUCAUCUUCAACGAGGAAUGCCUAGUAAACGCAAGUCAUCAGCUUGCAUUGAUUACGUCCCUGCCCUUUGUACACACCGCCCGUCGCUCCUACCGAUUGAACGGUUUAGUGAGGGCCUCGGAUUGGUCUCGGCCCGCUCUUUACCGGGCGGCGCCGUUGGUCGAGAAGACGCUCGAACUUGAUCGUUUAGAGGAAGUAAAAGUCGUAACA
Molecule: ribosomal RNA, 333 nt
Filed under: uncultured eukaryote
Lineage: Eukaryota
Description: partial 18S ribosomal RNA
Rfam family: Eukaryotic small subunit ribosomal RNA
Source: RNAcentral